UGUCUCCUCUGUGUCUGCUGCAACCUCAGCUCUACCUGAUCCAUUUUGAACAGCUGAAUUCCAGGGAUGUUAGACGCUUUCUUCCAGGCUCUGUUCAUCAUGGCAUCAGGAUUGAGGGUGAGAGGAAAUGUCUUAUGUUCUACCUGCCGAAGCUGUUCAUUGUAGGUCUUCUGUGGCUCUCAGCGGUUACACUGGGUAUAUGGCAAACGGUUAAUGAGCUCCAAGACCCUACAUUACACAUGGCCAGAGUCUAACUAAUGAGGUAACUCCAGUGAGCAAAGAACUCAGGCUUCAGACCUCCCUGAACACUCUGUUUCUGACCAGUGUUUUAUAGUCUGGUUACAAUAUGACAUCAUAGUGUGACAGAUUUAUUUAUAUGGUCAUCUGCUCCAGGAACAUUACUGCAAGUGUUUACAUUACCUAGCCUACACUGUUACACGUAGCUACAUGCUAACGUCAGGGAAGCAUGUAAUCUUGGUUGUCAUCAUUGUCGCUGCAAGAGACGCUGAGAUUCGGAAGACCUGGAAAUGCUUAGCAAGCAAAGCACGCUGGGCUUUUUCGGGACGGGGCUAAAACAGAGAGAUUCAGUCAGAGGGUGAUUACAGAUGUUCCAGUACAGACAGUAUGAGGAAAAUAUAGUGUUUUAUGAACAUUAAGUGUGUAAACAUGUCAUACUAGAAACCUUAAAUACAAAUAUGAACCUGAAAAUGAGCACAAUAGGGCCCCUUGAAGUAUACCAUGUGAGAUAGCAUGUUGAAGUCUUAAAUGGUGAGAAAUUAUUCCUUAACUUCAGACAUACCAGCUGAAUUCUUAUCAUUCUACGGUCUGCUCAACUUAUAACUGUACACAUUGGCAUUUGUGUAUUCCCCUUCCAAAAAUGCACUGUAUGACUCCCAUUUGAAGCAUAAUCCUGCUUUCUCCAUGCUGAACGACUCAGAUGAUGAAGUAAUAUACGGGAGUGAUUAUGAAGACAUGCCUUUACAAAACGGACGUGCUAUCAAAGCAACCACCAGGUACCAGGAUGAGAGUGACAGCGACUGAUGGGAUUUCUGACCAGCUUGUACCUCUUGUGCGUCCCUGCUGGAAGCUAUGAGAGUACAAUACAACAAACUAUCAUGUGUAUGUGUAAAUAACUUGCAAUGGUAUUACAAAAAUGACAUACUGUAAGUGUACAUAACUAUAUUUUUAAGAAAAGUUCCAUGUCUACUGAAUGUACUGUACUUUUACUGAAAGUUGGGGCAUGUAGCCACUCAGACUUUUUCCUUCAUUGUUUAUUCUUUCAGUCUCAUUGAAAACAAAGGAAACAAACACAUGUGUAAAACAGUACAAUUUUUACCAGUUUGUAAACUUUUUUCCUCGUGACCAGCAUUUCUUAACAACCUAUUAGUUAGAGAUGAUGAUUUUUUUUUGUUGAAUCAAUGUUAUUUUUAAUGCUUUGCGUUGAACCACUGUUGUGUCUCUUUACCUGCGCUGUGUUGUUUUUGCCAUUCCUUUCUGCUCUCUGAUAGUCUGACAAUAAUGAGAAUGUGUAUCUGGCCAAAGCUGAUUAACAUUAUACUGGUAGUAGGAAGUAAAGGAAGCUACAUGCUGCAGCCUUAAGUGCACUCUGGUGGUUCACACUAUGGCUUGCAAGCACUGACAUGAGUGAUAAAUAGGGAAUUAAAGUGCCAUAGCAGUGUUGGCUGUCGACAAAUUCUCUUUGGCCUCAGACGUGUGUUAAAAAACUCCAGAGAGAGCCUUAGCUGGAGUAGGUGCCACUUAUCUCUGACCACUCCUCUUGACAAUUCUUCCCUUUGAGAGCAGCUUUGUAAUUGCAUUUGUUUAAGAGUUUAAUUUAUUCACUGGUAAGUGACGAUGUUUGAUAGUGUAUUAUCUGACGACGUGAAUGGAUUUUAAUGAAUUGCAUGGAUUUUACACAACUUAAUGUAAAUGGACUACUGAUUUGUCACAUUCUUUCUCCCUGCACAUACAGUAAUUAUACCAUUGGCCAAAUAUAUUUUGCCUUAUGUAGAGCAUAUUAUUUUAAGUAGUUGUUUUUUUCCUCACGUAACUUUCCAUACCUUGCCUACAAUGUGAGACUUUUUUAUAAACCUGGAGUUAUGGACAAAAACAGCCAAACAAAUGUGUUUCCGUUCCUUACAAAUAAUAUCCUAACGUAUUCUAAUCAAGAUGGUGCCUUGUCUUUACAUUUCUUAUUACUGGGCUGCGGUCUCAAAUUUGUAAAUGCUUUGAGAUUAAUGUACAUUUUUGAUUCUUUCAGUGUGAAUGUAGUUUACGGUGGUUAAAUGAGGUUGUUAUGGGUCCCGAUAUGUUGGGAGUUCUUUGCAAUUUGUGUUGCUUAGUGAUAUAAAAGCUGUACAUGUAGCACUCUUGUCAUGUCUCAUGUAAAUAAAGCAAAGUAUAUCCAGCA
Non-coding RNA from Epinephelus lanceolatus (giant grouper), 2410 nucleotides. The record is from RefSeq and is a predicted model, not a curated record. Lineage: Eukaryota; Metazoa; Chordata; Actinopteri; Perciformes; Serranidae.